Non-coding RNA from Phrynosoma platyrhinos (Desert horned lizard), 73 nucleotides. NCBI's taxonomy places the organism in Eukaryota, Metazoa, Chordata, Lepidosauria, Squamata, Phrynosomatidae. The record is from the annotation of a GenBank genome assembly.
UGGUCUAUGGCGUAGUGGUUUGAGCCUUGGGCUGAGACCCUGGAGACCAGGAUUCAAUUCCCAGCUUGGCUGG